This 373-nucleotide RNase P RNA is filed under the name Clostridium frigidicarnis. RNAcentral describes it as "Bacterial RNase P class A". It matches the Rfam family "Bacterial RNase P class A". Rfam says of the family: Ribonuclease P (RNase P) is a ubiquitous endoribonuclease, found in archaea, bacteria and eukarya as well as chloroplasts and mitochondria. Its best characterised activity is the generation of mature 5'-ends of tRNAs by cleaving the 5'-leader elements of precursor-tRNAs. The record is from Rfam by way of RNAcentral. Lineage: Bacteria; Bacillati; Bacillota; Clostridia; Eubacteriales; Clostridiaceae.
CGAGUAAGCCAGACAAUCGCCGCUGAGUAAUUUCAGGGGAGGAAAGUCCGAGCUUCGUAGGGCAGGGUGCUGGGUAACUCCCAGUGGAGGCAACUUUAAGGAUAGUGCAACAGAGAUAUACCGCCAGAAUGAAGUUUUUCUUCAUGAGUUUAGCUUUUAGCUAACUGGUAAGGCUGGAAAGGGGAGGUAAGAGCUCACCAGCGCGUUGGUGACUUCGCGGCUAUGUAAACCCCACCUGAAGCAAGACCGAAUAGAGAGGCAAAUGGGGCUGCCCGUCCCGUCUCCGGGUGUGUCGCUUGAGCUUAUUGGUAACAAUAGGCCUAGAUAGAUGAUUGUCAAAUACAGAACUCGGCUUAUAGACUUAUCUCGUACA